This 501-nucleotide ribosomal RNA is filed under the name uncultured bacterium. RNAcentral describes it as "bacterial SSU rRNA". It matches the Rfam family "Bacterial small subunit ribosomal RNA", at positions 28 to 561 of the family's 1533-position model. The record is from RNAcentral.
AACGAACGCUGGCGGCAUGCCUAACACAUGCAAGUCGAACGGGGUCAUGGGGCUUGCUCCAUGACUUAGUGGCGCACGGGUGAGUAACGCGUGGGAACCUGCCCUCGAGUGGGGAAUAACGACGGGAAACUGUCGCUAAUACCGCAUACGUCCUCCGGGAGAAAGGCUUCGGCCGCUCAAGGAUGGUCCCGCGUCCGAUUAGCUAGUUGGUGAGGUAACGGCUCACCAAGGCGACGAUCGGUAGCUGGUCUGAGAGGAUGAUCAGCCACACUGGGACUGAGACACGGCCCAGACUCCUACGGGAGGCAGCAGUGGGGAAUAUUGGACAAUGGGGGAAACCCUGAUCCAGCAAUGCCGCGUGAGUGAAGAAGGCCUUAGGGUUGUAAAGCUCUUUCAGACGUGACGAUGAUGACGGUAGCGUCAGAAGAAGCCCCGGCUAACUUCGUGCCAGCAGCCGCGGUAAUACGAAGGGGGCUAGCGUUGUUCGGAAUUACUGGGCGU